CAGAGCUUGCUCUGUGGAUCAGUGGCGAACGGGUGAGUAACACGUGAGCAACCUGCCCCGGACUCUGGGAUAAGCGCUGGAAACGGCGUCUAAUACCGGAUACGAGAUUCCACCGCAUGGUGAGUUUCUGGAAAGAUUUUUUGGUCUGGGAUGGGCUCACGGCCUAUCAGCUUGUUGGUGAGGUAAUGGCUCACCAAGGCGUCGACGGGUAGCCGGCCUGAGAGGGUGACCGGCCACACUGGGACUGAGACACGGCCCAGACUCCUACGGGAGGCAGCAGUGGGGAAUAUUGCACAAUGGGCGGAAGCCUGAUGCAGCAACGCCGCGUGAGGGAUGACGGCCUUCGGGUUGUAAACCUCUUUUAGCAGGGAAGAAGCGAAAGUGACGGUACCUGCAGAAAAAGCGCCGGCUAACUACGUGCCAGCAGCCGCGGUAAUACGUAGGGCGCAAGCGUUAUCCGGAAUUAUUGGGCGUAAAGAGCUCGUAGGCGGUUUGUCGCGUCUGCUGUGAAAUCCCGAGGCUCAACCUCGGGUCUGCAGUGGGUACGGGCAGACUAGAGUGCGGUAGGGGAGAUUGGAAUUCCUGGUGUAGCGGUGGAAUGCGCAGAUAUCAGGAGGAACACCGAUGGCGAAGGCAGAUCUCUGGGCCGUUACUGACGCUGAGGAGCGAAAGGGUGGGGAGCAAACAGGCUUAGAUACCCUGGUAGUCCACCCCGUAAACGUUGGGAACUAGUUGUGGGG
This 740-nucleotide ribosomal RNA is filed under the name Microbacterium marinum. RNAcentral describes it as "bacterial SSU rRNA". It matches the Rfam family "Bacterial small subunit ribosomal RNA", at positions 74 to 827 of the family's 1533-position model. Lineage: Bacteria; Bacillati; Actinomycetota; Actinomycetes; Micrococcales; Microbacteriaceae. The record is from RNAcentral.